RNAcentral lists this ribosomal RNA (119 nucleotides) under Pteropus alecto (black flying fox). RNAcentral also lists the same sequence under 1 other name. The record is from RNAcentral. Lineage: Eukaryota; Metazoa; Chordata; Mammalia; Chiroptera; Pteropodidae.
GUCUACAGCCAUGCCACCCUGAACAAGCCCAAUCCCAUCUGAUCUCGGAAGCUUAGCAGGGUCGGGCCUGGUUAGUACUUGGAUGGGAGACCACCUAGGAAGACCAGGUGCUGUAGGCA